This 510-nucleotide ribosomal RNA is filed under the name uncultured bacterium. Its description in RNAcentral is "partial 16S ribosomal RNA". It matches the Rfam family "Bacterial small subunit ribosomal RNA", at positions 28 to 507 of the family's 1533-position model. The record is from RNAcentral.
GACGAACGCUGGCGGCGUGCUUAACACAUGCAAGUCGAACGAAGAGCGACGGAAGCUUGCUUCUAUCAAUCUUAGUGGCGAACGGGUGAGUAACGCGUAAUCAACCUGCCCUUCAGAGGGGGACAACAGUUGGAAACGACUGCUAAUACCGCAUACGAUCUAACCUCGGCAUCGAGGAUAGAUGAAAGGUGGCCUCUACAUGUAAGCUAUCACUGAAGGAGGGGAGUGCGGCUGAUUAGCUAGUUGGAGGGGUAACGGCGCACCAAGGCGAUGAUCAGUAGCCGGUCUGAGAGGAUGAACAGCCACAUUGGGACUGAGACACGGCCCAGACUCCUACGGGAGGCAGCAGUGGGGAAUCUUCCGCAAGGGACGGAAGUCUGACGGAGCAACGCCGCGUGAGUGAUGACGGCCUUCGGGUUGGAAAGCUCUGUUAAUCGGGACGAAAGGCCUUCUUGCGAAUAGUGAGAAGGAUUGACGGUACCGGAAGAGAAAGCCACGGCUAACUACGUG